RNAcentral lists this long non-coding RNA (571 nucleotides) under Buteo japonicus. RNAcentral's name for it is "lncRNA (ENSBJAG00000001738.1)". Lineage: Eukaryota; Metazoa; Chordata; Aves; Accipitriformes; Accipitridae. The record is from RNAcentral.
AUCACACAGCACAUUUUCUCAUGCCAAGAUGCCAGGUGAAAUGCCUAAAUCUUUGGUAAAUCUAACACAUUGCCUCUGCAAAAAAUGGAUAUUCAAGCUUCCAAAUAGUUUUCUCCACAGAAACCUGCUCUUCACAACACCCGGAAACGUCCAGUUUUGUGAAACCCACUUUAUCAAGUCUGUCCACCUACAGCACGCCCACACAGAGGAGCAUCACAAGCCUGGCAUAUGCGAUGGGCACAGUGACCGAGAGCACCAGCACCCUUCUGCCCACUACCCCCUCCAGCACCUCUGUAACCUCCCCAGGCAAAAUCUAUCAUGAGAGCUCAUCAGGUGACUCACACCUGCUCCCAGUUGUGUUACCAGCUCUCAUUUUACUGAUUUUCAUCACUAUCACUAUUCUCGCCCUGACCAAAAUAAAGCUUCAAAAGGAGACGGGAGAAGAAAGAAGCGCCAUAGGAAACCUGACAGCAACGCCAAUUCGCGCUGAUCUGAACCCUGUAAAAGAGCAAACGAUGGAGCAAACCCCGCGUUCAGAAAAAGUGCACGAAUGCCGGACAGACUCCAGCCG